RNAcentral lists this long non-coding RNA (1197 nucleotides) under Panax ginseng (ginseng). RNAcentral describes it as "long non-coding RNA (PGIN_LNC002020)". Lineage: Eukaryota; Viridiplantae; Streptophyta; Magnoliopsida; Apiales; Araliaceae. The record is from RNAcentral.
AAAGAAAUGUAAACCCAAAUCGAUUAACCGUUUUCCAAAUCCAAAUUGAAAGUUGUUUCCUAAUAUGCUCUUCGUUGCAUCUUCGACCCAUAGUUACAUAUUUUGUAUCUCUUUCUCCAUUAGAGGAUUUUGUAUCAGAGCUUUUUCUGGUGAUAUUGAAUUGAUCUUCCUUCAUGACUCUUCAAUCAAUAACAUUCUUCUUUUGAUGAUCUUCCUUUGUGACUCUUCAAUAAAGUAUGGCUGUUAAUUAAUCGCACUCUUAGCGUCCAAAUCGGCGUUGAUUUAGUGUUGGUUUUACAGUAAGUUCGAAGCUCUGCUCUCUAGUUUAUUUCGCCCUUUUCAUUUCAGCUUUUAUUGUCCUUUUGCAAUUCGUCUUUUAUCAAGUUUUAUCUUGAGUUUCUCUUAUCUCUUCUUAAAGUUGCAAACAAUUAUAUGCUUUUAACUUAAUAUUUGUAAUGGACUCUUAGUUUGAACUAAGACCCCCAAAAGCACUAAUCCUUAGUUCAGACUAAAAGCCCACUACGGAUAUUAAGUUAAAAGCAUAUAAGCAUAGUUUAAUUUAAUGCUUUAUAAGCAUUGAGAAUAGUUUAAUUUACUGGUGCUAUUCAAGGGAAGGCUUUAUAAGCAUAUCGGUUUCGCGUCGCAAAGUCGCACUGAUGUAUUAAUCUUUAAUCGCAGUUCAGUUUUUAUGUUGCUAUCACUGGAGAAACCAAAAGCAAGCUUAUAUAUCUUUAUUGUCUGUAAAAGAUUCAACAUUAAAAUCUUCUACUCAUUGUGUUAUUAUAAUAUUAUCAAAAAGUUUUCCUUGUUUUUUCCCAUGGAUAAUCAUAGAUUUAAAAAAAAAAGACAUUCACAUGAAAUAUGUCUCUAUAUAUGUGCAUUGCAAAGCAUGAUACGCUUACAUAUAUGAGGCGUAUAAUUACUUUGACAUCAUCUUUGUAAACUUGAAGCACAUGGAGCAAAGUAAGCCAAUCUCACUGGGCUUGAGCUAAUUGGAGCUCCAAUUUCGACAUUGAGUGUGAACUUUGGCAAGGGAAGCCAUAUAAUCAUCAGACCUGAGAGGAAAAAUGAGUCCAAAACUCUCAAUGUAUUUAAUUUAGUUACUCGACUAUAUGGGUUUUAAUUGGACCAACCUUAGUCCAUAAGGGGAUUGACAUGCAUUCACUAUAUGAAGCUUGGCACCAUCAGGUUUACUCU